GUUGAAUAUUCUUGGUAAUAUGAAAAUCUUAUUUGUUUUGGUAAUUUUGAAGAUUUGGGUAAUAUUUUGUCAACUAUUGAUGUGGAUAGUUAUAAACUCAUUUGGAGUACCAAUGUAAAUAUACUUGCUUAAUAUAUUCAUCCACUAACAGUGAUAUAUAUGAUUAUCAAUUAUAAUAUGCCCACCUCUGUGUCAGCAUUUCCUUAUAUAUGAACACAAUAUUAAAAUUCAUUCCUAGAGGGAAGAAAAUGGGAAAACAUGAUUAUUCCUUCAACAACUUUUAAUUGAGCACCUACUUUUUUUCAAGCCAGGUAUAUGUUUAUGCCAAGUAUUAGGAUAUCUGCUAAAAUGUAGCAGUUAACAAACACAGAAGCAUUCUACUCCUGGGGAGCACACAUUCUAGUUUGGAGAGAUUGAAAACAGCAAAACAAUAAAAAGUUAAAGCAUAGAGUGCAUUACAUGUUGCUAUGGUAACUAGAAAAUUAGAGCAGAAAACAGGGAAUGGAAAUUUAAGUAGAAGACCAGAGAAGUCUUCAGAAAGGGGCAUUUGAGUAAAAUAUAAAGUAUGGGUUGAGUUUAGGGCAAGGUUUUAAUGAUGAUAAUGAUUUACAUGAGUACAAUGGCUUCAGUCAUAAUGAUUAUGGAAAUGGGAAUGUAGU
Molecule: long non-coding RNA, 659 nt
Filed under: Marmota monax (woodchuck)
Lineage: Eukaryota; Metazoa; Chordata; Mammalia; Rodentia; Sciuridae
Source: RNAcentral